GAACUAACUCCCUUCCCUCUACUCCCAGAGCCCGCCCGGCAGGACCACCGAGCAAGGCCUUGGAAAACCAGAGAGAUUAGAGCGGUGAGUCGCGCCGGUCACGUUGGACGCCUGCGCGUUAGGAGAUUCUGGAGCCAGAACAGCUGAAUUGCCUUCGCCCGCCCUGCCCCUCGCCUGCUUCAGAAGCUUCCAGGAACUCCCGGGUCGGCGACCCAGCCCGAGCCGCCUGGGGCCCCAAGGGAAGCUGAACGCCCUGUGGGCUCCUGGGAUGGUUCUUCCCGUUCUUUGCGCCGCCUUCACCCAUUGAAGAGCCUGUGCCCACCCUGCCCAGUCGCUCUCGGGGCCGCGGAGGAGCUUCCGCUGCCAUCUUCGGAUCCUGUGUUCCGCACGGGGGCUCCACCAGGGCAGGGAUGGUGAAUGGGGAAAUGGAGAGAGAACCUGAAAGAGCCCCAAACUCGAGGACCUAUUGCUCCCCAAGAAUAACAUCUUCCAGAAGAACUAGACAGAAAACUAGGCGUCUGGGAACUCUGAAAUCCUUGGAGGAGUAGCAUCAUCAUGACCCUCUGUGUUCCUUUUGGCAAAGGACUUGCUCCCAUUGUUUGCUUGUUCCAUUGUCUGUCUGUUAAAUAAAUAAAACCCUUUUCAUAUAUCUUUAAACUUACGUUGGUUUUAUUAUUUCAUGAUUACAAAUAAUGCUGCAGUCAUCAUUCUUGUACACUCUCA
This 723-nucleotide unclassified non-coding RNA is filed under the name Homo sapiens (human). RNAcentral's name for it is "novel transcript (ENSG00000291408.1)". The record is from RNAcentral. Lineage: Eukaryota; Metazoa; Chordata; Mammalia; Primates; Hominidae.